UGUGUGUUGUGUUGAGAUGGAAAAUGGGCAUGCGAGAUCUUAAAAGCUGCAUGGUCUGGUCUGGCUUGGGGAUAAGCACAAAGCAAAACCUUCAAAAUUUGUGACCAAAGACGUGAAAUCUAGAGCUUGUACUUAAAGGGGAACUUCUUUUGGGUAAAAAUAUCAAAGUUCAAUAGAAGAAGGUGUCAGUUAUUGCAUAUGAUGCUGGCUACACCUUCUCACACCCUAGAACAGGACAUCACAACUUCAGGCCCAUUUUCAGGUAUUGGGUACUAUGGGCUGGGCUUUUCAGUCUUGGGAAGAUGAAUGUCAGCCCAGGCCCAAGGAAAAGAAAGGUAAGAUGCUGUUUAUGUUCACUUUUUUCUUCUCACACCCUCUUUGUUUCUUUUUUCUCCAUA
RNAcentral lists this small RNA (398 nucleotides) under Vigna angularis var. angularis. Its description in RNAcentral is "Non-protein coding transcript". The record is from RNAcentral. Lineage: Eukaryota; Viridiplantae; Streptophyta; Magnoliopsida; Fabales; Fabaceae.